GAUGAACGCUAGCUACAGGCCUAACACAUGCAAGUCGAGGGAACGGACAGCUUAGCUUGCUAAGCUGGACGUCGACCGGCGCACGGGUGAGUAACGCGUAUCCAACCUGCCCCACCGGUGAGGGAUAACCCGCGGAAACGCGGCCUAAUACCUCAUGGCCUCCGAGCUUGACAUCAACCUUGGAGUAAAGAUUCAUUGCCGUGGGAUGGGGAUGCGUCUGAUUAGCUUGUUGGCGGGGUAACGGCCCACCAAGGCUACGAUCAGUAGGGGUUCUGAGAGGAAGGUCCCCCACAUUGGAACUGAGACACGGACCAAACUCCUACGGGAGGCAGCAGUGAGGAAUAUUGGUCAAUGGGCGGAAGCCUGAACCAGCCAAGUCGCGUGAGGGAUGACGGUCCUACGGAUUGUAAACCUCUUUAGCCGGGGAGUAAAGUGAGCGACGUGUCGCUCAUUGAGAGUACCCGGAGAAUAAGCAUCGGCUAACUCCGUGCCAGCAGCCGCGGU
This 504-nucleotide ribosomal RNA is filed under the name uncultured bacterium. Its description in RNAcentral is "bacterial SSU rRNA". It matches the Rfam family "Bacterial small subunit ribosomal RNA", at positions 28 to 521 of the family's 1533-position model. The record is from RNAcentral.